CUACUGAAGUAAUCCCAUCUCCCCGAAGAGGCACCCAAACACUGCUCCUUGCGUGUUCCUGGAGGGAGUAUCCUGGCCCAGAACUCAGCACUUACAAUCUGAGAAAUUGUCAGAGACUAUGCCAUAUUUUCUUUAAAUUUCA
RNAcentral lists this long non-coding RNA (142 nucleotides) under Chloebia gouldiae (Gouldian finch). RNAcentral's name for it is "Erythrura gouldiae (Gouldian finch) lncRNA (ENSEGOG00005012869.1)". The record is from RNAcentral. Lineage: Eukaryota; Metazoa; Chordata; Aves; Passeriformes; Passeridae.